AUGGUUGGUGCUCUCACUGGAUUAGCAGUUAGUUGAGAGUGUUGUCUCUAAUUGCAUGAUUUUUUAUACUCUAUAGGUUAGGACUUCCUAUUACAAACCUUGCAUGAUAGUGUGAUGCAUUUGCAACAUGCUAGAGGGCUAGACGGCCUGCUUCCUAUUACAUCUUGGUCGGACAUUUGAUUUGGUGGAGCGAGAAAGAGGCAAGCUAAAAGCCAUUGGUAUGUUGUGCAACAUGUUCAGAAGGAAAGGAGCUGACGUGAAUGGACCAACUUCAUGUGGGUGAGAUCCACACUCUACAUAAGGUGCAACACACUGUGCUUGGACCAUUACUCAAAAAUCAGAAAACCCCAAAGCCUUCCAUAUAUGCAGAAGAUCAGUCCUUGUUUCUUCCAUAUAAUUCCUAGGAUGGAUAUAUUUCUCUCUUGUUCAACUUCUGCAAGAAACAAUGGUGGGCGGCAUCAGUUCUGGUGGUCAGAUGACUGCUGCUCCCGAUGGUGGAGUUCCAGAAGGGAGCUUUGAUUUUUACAGAGGCACCAAUGUUGAGAUAAAAUUGAUCAUCUAUCUGGAAUCUAUAGGUGCAAAUGAUCUCCUACAAUCAGUUGUAGUUUAGCUUAAUGUACAAUCUAUCUCUCGUGCCAUUGUGAUGUUUGAUGAAGGCGCUGAAUAUUUAUGAUUUCAUCAGCUAUUUUUUUAUUUACUGCCAU
This is a long non-coding RNA of Magnolia sinica, 704 nucleotides long. RefSeq lists it as uncharacterized. The record is from RefSeq and is a predicted model, not a curated record. The transcript is spliced from 3 exons. NCBI's taxonomy places the organism in Eukaryota, Viridiplantae, Streptophyta, Magnoliopsida, Magnoliales, Magnoliaceae.